GUCUGGCCGGCUCAGUUGAUAGAGCGUGCGACUCUUGAUCUUAGGGUUGUGAGUUUGAGCCUCAUGUUGGAUG
RNAcentral lists this transfer RNA (73 nucleotides) under Felis catus (domestic cat). It matches the Rfam family "tRNA". Rfam says of the family: Transfer RNA (tRNA) molecules are approximately 80 nucleotides in length. Their secondary structure includes four short double-helical elements and three loops (D, anti-codon, and T loops). Further hydrogen bonds mediate the characteristic L-shaped molecular structure. tRNAs have two regions of fundamental functional importance: the anti-codon, which is responsible for specific mRNA codon recognition, and the 3' end, to which the tRNAs corresponding amino acid is attached (by aminoacyl-tRNA synthetases). tRNAs cope with the degeneracy of the genetic code in two manners: having more than one tRNA (with a specific anti-codon) for a particular amino acid; and 'wobble' base-pairing, i.e. permitting non-standard base-pairing at the 3rd anti-codon position. The record is from Rfam by way of RNAcentral. Lineage: Eukaryota; Metazoa; Chordata; Mammalia; Carnivora; Felidae.